GAAAUGCGAUAAGUAAUGUGAAUUGCAGAAUUCAGUGAAUCAUCGAAUCUUUGAACGCACAUUGCGCCCGCCAGGAUUCUGGCGGGCAUGCCUGUCCGAGCGUCAUUUCAACCAUCAAGCCCCCGGGCUUGUGUUGGGGACCUGCGGCUGCCCGCAGGCCCUGAAAACCAGUGGCGGGCUCGCUGUCACACCGAGCGUAGUAGCAAUCACCUCGCUCAGGGCGUGCUGCGGGUUCCGGCCGUUAAACAGCCUUACAAAACCCAAGGUUGACCUCGGAUCAGGUAGGAAGACCCGCUGAACUUAAGC
Molecule: unclassified non-coding RNA, 306 nt
Filed under: plant metagenome
Description: partial contains 5.8S ribosomal RNA, internal transcribed spacer 2, and large subunit ribosomal RNA
Rfam family: 5.8S ribosomal RNA (bases 1-105)
Source: RNAcentral